AAAUGUGAGGGUAAUCUGGCUGUUGCAUCUAUCACCCUGUGGAUCUCUGAGGUUGAUUUCCUGGUCUAGAGAGGUAGGUGGGUGUCCUAUUCCUCAUAUACCUUGACGUGUGUUCCUCCCAAUGCUGCAUGCUAGGUCAAAAAGGAUGACCAUCUCUGACAGAGGAGGAAGAUGCAUCAGUCAAGGUUAUACAGUAACUCUCUCCCUACUAUAACCUCUAAGCAAGAUUUCAAGUUCAUCAUUUGCUAAAAACAGCAAAAUGUACAGUCUGCAAUCAUAAAUUAGCUGUUUUUAUGUGGAAACAAU
This 306-nucleotide small nuclear RNA is filed under the name Castor canadensis (American beaver). RNAcentral describes it as "7SK RNA (ENSCCNG00000004662.1)". It matches the Rfam family "7SK RNA". From Rfam's summary of the family: 7SK was discovered as an abundant small nuclear RNA in the mid-70s but a possible function has only recently been suggested. Lineage: Eukaryota; Metazoa; Chordata; Mammalia; Rodentia; Castoridae. The record is from Rfam by way of RNAcentral.